Molecule: ribosomal RNA, 194 nt
Filed under: bacterium symbiont of Spirobrachia tripeira
Lineage: Bacteria
Description: partial 16S ribosomal RNA
Rfam family: Bacterial small subunit ribosomal RNA
Source: RNAcentral
CCUACGGGAGGCAGCAGUGGGGAAUAUUGGACAAUGGGGGCAACCCUGAUCCAGCAAUACCGCGUGUGUGAAGAAGGCCUGCGGGUUGUAAAGCACUUUCAAUUGUGAAGAAAAGAUUAAGGUUAAUAACCUUAGUCCUUGACGUUAACUUUAGAAGAAGCACCGGCUCACUCCGUGCCAGCAGCCGCGGUAAU